Molecule: ribosomal RNA, 384 nt
Filed under: uncultured soil bacterium
Lineage: Bacteria
Description: bacterial SSU rRNA
Rfam family: Bacterial small subunit ribosomal RNA
Source: RNAcentral
AGAACGAACGCUGGCGGCAUGCCUAACACAUGCAAGUCGAACGAGACCUUCGGGUCUAGUGGCGCACGGGUGCGUAACGCGUGGGAACCUGCCUUUAGGUUCGGAAUAACUCAGAGAAAUUUGAGCUAAUACCGGAUAAUGUCUUCGGACCAAAGAUUUAUCGCCUUUAGAUGGGCCCGCGUAGGAUUAGCUUGUUGGUGGGGUAAUGGCCUACCAAGGCGACGAUCCUUAGCUGGUCUGAGAGGAUGAUCAGCCACACUGGGACUGAGACACGGCCCAGACUCCUACGGGAGCAGCAGUGGGGAAUAUGGACAAGUGGGACGAAAGCCUAGAUCCAGACAAGUGCCGCGUGAGUGAGUGAAGGUCCGUUAGGGUAGUAAAGUC